Molecule: transfer RNA, 59 nt
Filed under: Ctenophorus maculatus
Lineage: Eukaryota; Metazoa; Chordata; Lepidosauria; Squamata; Agamidae
Description: tRNA-Ser
Source: RNAcentral
GAUGGACCAAGCGGAGCUGCUAACUCUGAAAACUGGGCCUGACCGCCCGGACCCAUCCA